This 491-nucleotide ribosomal RNA is filed under the name uncultured bacterium. Its description in RNAcentral is "bacterial SSU rRNA". It matches the Rfam family "Bacterial small subunit ribosomal RNA", at positions 419 to 902 of the family's 1533-position model. The record is from RNAcentral.
CGGGUUGUAAAGCACUUUCAGUUGUGAGGAAGGUGGUGUCGUUAAUAGCGGCAUCAUUUGACGUUAGCAACAGAAGAAGCACCGGCUAACUCCGUGCCAGCAGCCGCGGUAAUACGGAGGGUGCGAGCGUUAAUCGGAAUUACUGGGCGUAAAGCGCAUGCAGGUGGUUUGUUAAGUCAGAUGUGAAAGCCCGGGGCUCAACCUCGGAACUGCAUUUGAAACUGGCAGACUAGAGUACUGUAGAGGGGGGUAGAAUUUCAGGUGUAGCGGUGAAAUGCGUAGAGAUCUGAAGGAAUACCGGUGGCGAAGGCGGCCCCCUGGACAGAUACUGACACUCAGAUGCGAAAGCGUGGGGAGCAAACAGGAUUAGAUACCCUGGUAGUCCACGCUGUAAACGAUGUCUACUUGGAGGUUGUGGCCUUGAGCCGUGGCUUUCGGAGCUAACGCGUUAAGUAGACCGCCUGGGGAGUACGGUCGCAAGAUUAAAACUC